Molecule: microRNA precursor, 62 nt
Filed under: Python bivittatus (Burmese python)
Lineage: Eukaryota; Metazoa; Chordata; Lepidosauria; Squamata; Pythonidae
Description: Pbv-Mir-10-P3d_pre stem-loop
Source: RNAcentral
UCCCUGAGACCCUAACUUGUGACGUUUUGGUUUCAAGUCCACGGGUUAGGCUCUCGGGAGCU